GUGGGGUGUAUAUUUUGGGAUUAAUUAAUAUUUAAUGGGGGUGGGACCAUAAGGGAGUAGGUGAAAUCCUGGGUUGAAACCUUGGUUAUGUCUGUUAUUGUGUGACCUGCACGCGUUCCUCAGGGCUAGGCAAUUCUUUCCUAGGACGGGCACGUCCAUCAGAACCUCAGGAUGGGGCCUUGUUUGAAAACACCGUCCUUGCAGAUGUAGUUACGGUGAGGAUGGAGAUGAGGCCAUCCUGGAUUGGGGGUGCCCGAAGUCCAAUGAGCCUGACCUCACAGGACACAGAAGCAAAGAGAAGCCAUGUGAAGACCGACCAAGAGAUGGACUGGUGCCCGCCAAGGGAGGCCAGGAGUGACCGGGCCACCAAAAGCUGGGAAGCGGCAGGUGCCUGUGGCCGGCGCCUUGACUGUGGAUUUCUGGUCCCUAGCGCCGUGUGAGGAUAUAUUUCCGUUGCUUCAAGCCCCUGAGUUUGCACUAAGUUGAUGGGGCAGCCCUAGGAGACUAAUGUAGAUGGGUCAAUCACAUCCCCUACCUUGUAGGGUUGUUGUGAAGAUUAAACUGGCCCAGAUAGCAUUUCAUUAUGGUAUAAUGAAAAUAUAUCCAUAUUAAAAACAAAAACAAAAAACCCCAACUAUGCUAGCCACAGUCUGUCACCAAGCCAUGUAUUUUUUCUUUGCCCACAGUUGUUAAUUCAUCAUGCUUCUUUUCCUGCUAUUUUCUAGCCCACGCCUGCCUUCUCUCAUUUAUCCACUCAGCACGCCCCACCACCAACAAAGCACUCUUCUAGUGCUAGAGUUCUCUUUGGACCACGGAGAUCCCCUGCUCCCCCUUGUACCUUCCAGCAUGUUCUUAGCCCACGUGCAGAGCCCUCUUCUGCAGUUGGAGCCUGCCCCCCGUCUUCCGCACAGAUGCACCUCAAGUUUAAGAUUGUGUAUGAACCUUCCACCAAUGCCGUCCACGACACAUGCAGAGCCAGAAGAUCCAGGGCACGAGGUGAACGUCGAAAGGCGCGGCUCCGCCUCUCAGGGAAGACCGCGGCUUCUCGGGAGCUGGAACAUCCUGCCAGAGACCUUGGCAGCGCCUGCGCGAGCUGCCCCGUGAACGCCAGGA
This 1113-nucleotide long non-coding RNA is filed under the name Dasypus novemcinctus (nine-banded armadillo). RNAcentral's name for it is "lncRNA (ENSDNOG00000051817.1)". Lineage: Eukaryota; Metazoa; Chordata; Mammalia; Cingulata; Dasypodidae. The record is from RNAcentral.